UAGGGAGGUCAGGGCCAGGAGCACCCCCUGAGCCCAGGAUAACUCUUGAAGUUGGGGGGCA
Rattus norvegicus (Norway rat) is the source of this 61-nucleotide non-coding RNA. NCBI's taxonomy places the organism in Eukaryota, Metazoa, Chordata, Mammalia, Rodentia, Muridae. The record is from Rfam.